This 392-nucleotide ribosomal RNA is filed under the name uncultured bacterium. Its description in RNAcentral is "partial 16S ribosomal RNA". It matches the Rfam family "Bacterial small subunit ribosomal RNA", at positions 523 to 918 of the family's 1533-position model. The record is from RNAcentral.
AUACGUAUGUCGCAAGCGUUAUCCGGAUUUAUUGGGCGUAAAGCGCGUCUAGGCGGCUUAGUAAGUCUGAUGUGAAAAUGCGGGGCUCAACCCCGUAUUGCGUUGGAAACUGCUAAACUAGAGUACUGGAGAGGUAGGCGGAACUACAAGUGUAGAGGUGAAAUUCGUAGAUAUUUGUAGGAAUGCCGAUGGGCAAGCCAGCAUACUGGACCGAUACUGACGCUAAAGCGCGAAACCGUGCGUAGCAAACAGGAUUAGAUGCCCUGGUAGUCCACGCCGUAAACGAUGAUUGCUAGGUGUUGGGGGUCGAACCUCAGCGCCCAAGCUAACGCGAUAAGUAAUCCGCCUGGGGAGUACGUACGCAAGUAUGAAACUCAAAUGAAUUGACGGGG